GGGAAUCUGCCCCUUGGUUCGGAAUAACUCAGAGAAAUUUGAGCUAAUACCGGAUGACGACGAAAGUCCAAAGAUUUAUCGCCGAGGGAUGAGCCCGCGUAGGAUUAGCUAGUUGGUGGGGUAAAGGCCUACCAAGGCGACGAUCCUUAGCUGGUCUGAGAGGAUGAUCAGCCACACUGGGACUGAGACACGGCCCAGACUCCUACGGGAGGCAGCAGUGGGGAAUAUUGGACAAUGGGCGAAAGCCUGAUCCAGCAAUGCCGCGUGAGUGAUGAAGGCCUUAGGGUUGUAAAGCUCUUUUACCCGGGAUGAUAAUGACAGUACCGGGAGAAUAAGCUCCGGCUAACUCCGUGCCAGCAGCCGCGGUAAUACGGAGGGAGCUAGCGUUGUUCGGAAUUACUGGGCGUAAAGCGCACGUAGGCGGCUUUGUAAGUUAGAGGUGAAAGCCUGGAGCUCAACUCCAGAACUGCCUUUGAUACUGCAUGGCUUGAAUCCAAGAGAGGUGAGUGGAAUUCCGAGU
Molecule: ribosomal RNA, 520 nt
Filed under: uncultured bacterium
Lineage: Bacteria
Description: bacterial SSU rRNA
Rfam family: Bacterial small subunit ribosomal RNA
Source: RNAcentral